Molecule: non-coding RNA, 1654 nt
Organism: Physcomitrium patens
Lineage: Eukaryota; Viridiplantae; Streptophyta; Bryopsida; Funariales; Funariaceae
Source: RefSeq, a predicted model, not a curated record
UCCUCAGCCACAUGGGCCUGGGAAUGGGCCGUAUCCUCUGCUUGCAGCUCUGCUUUUAUAACCUAAAAUCGUCAUCGCUAUUCUCUCCGACUUUCUGUUUACUGCCGUGUUCGUGGAAUUCACUUCGUGAGAGAUUUGUGUGGCGAAUUCAUUCCAAGGUGCUUAUUUUGAGCAUAACGUCGACGACUCCGGUCCAGGAGCGUGUUGCUUCUUGUCUUUUCGUGGAGGCACAGCAGGAGCUUUGAUGGUUUCUAGCAUUUGGCUUCCAGGAUGCAAUGUGGUGGAACCGUGAGGAGCUGAUCCGAUCUUUAUCGUGGAAUUCUCAGUCAGUAGAUAAUUGAAAGUGUACAAGUGCGUGACCAGGAAUAUGGUGAAACUGUACCGGUGAAUGCAUGUUGGAAACAAAAGAAUCCGCAGGGUUUUGUUGUUGGGAGAGGAUGUCUAAGCGCAUUCUCUGGGAAUAAGUUUGAAACAGAGCUGUACAUGUGGAUGCAAGGAACUUCAUAAAGUAUGAGGAUCGAAGAUGGAAUAGCGACCUACAUGAGGCGGUCUCAAAUAAUCCUGGUUGCUAUCUAGGUGAAGUAGAAUCAAAGAGCGAACUCAGUACCUGGAACAUGACGUCGCAAUGUGCUCAAACUCGUUUAUCGACAAAUUUUAGCUUUCUUGUGACUCCCAAGGUAUUGGCAUCAUGUCAGAAGUUGACACGGACUGGGUUACAAAAUGGUACCAUUUCCUUACGAGGGCGCUGCUCGCGUCACUGCGAGAGUGACGUGAGCUGGGAACCGAGACACCUAAACAGUCGAAUUGCGUGUAUGCGAGCUGGGGAACCAAGCAUACCUAAGCCCACAUGGGUAGAGAUGACUGCGAUCACACGUGAAGAUCAGUUCGAUGAAGCUCUCGAGUCGGGAAACCCUAUCAUCAUUGACUGGAUGGCAACCUGGUGCAGAAAAUGCGUCUAUUUGAAGCCAAAGCUGGAAAAACUUGCCGCUGAAUACCACCCUGACGUUAAGUUUUAUGUCGUGGACGUCAAUAUUGUGCCAGCAACACUGGUGACCCGCGCUGGAGUGACGGUGGGUUUUCUCGAGUUGCUACAGCCUCCAUUUUUCUCUCUUCCUGAUUACAGUUCACAUGUGAUCCAGAGAUCCUCUUUGGUUAGAUCUCCUCUUAACAUUGUCCAAUAAAACUGAAGCAAACUAUUCAACUGUAAUUUGGGCCCAACUUGAAACAUUGAACUGAUUGCCUUUUUUGUGUGAUUAUGACAUACUAUGUGAUGUUUGGGGAACUCGGUUGAGAGCUUUCAGAAAAUGCCAACGAUUCAGUUAUGGAAAAACAAGGAGAAGGCAGGGGAGAUUGUUGGUGGUGAUCAAGGUUCACUGGUGAUGGAUAAAGUUCGGGAAAUGCUGAUUCAUAGAAAGUAGCUUGUUGUGGGCAUUAGCAUUGGGCAGACUAGCUCGUCCUACACUCAACCUAGAAUAUGGUAAUCUUAUGACCCCAUUUUCAUCAUUUGUUUUAAACCUUAACGCUUAUUUAAGGAGCCGUUAAGAAUGAGUUGACAUCCAUAUUUAGUGUUUUAUGAUAUUUUGAUUAUAAGAGAUAGUGCUGUGUUUUCACUUUGACUAUCAGUGUGGGCGUCGAUUCUUCACGUCCUUUUGCA